UACGGAGGAUGCGAGCGUUAUCCGGAUUUAUUGGGUUUAAAGGGUGCGUAGGCGGCGAGUUAAGUCAGCGGUAAAAGCCCGGGGCUCAACCCCGGCCCGCCGUUGAAACUGGCUGGCUUGAGUUGGGGAAAGGCAGGCGGAAUGCGCGGUGUAGCGGUGAAAUGCAUAGAUAUCGCGCAGAACCCCGAUUGCGAAGGCAGCUUACAAAUCUAUAUCGGACGCUGAGGCACGAAAGCGUGGGGAGCAAACAGG
This 252-nucleotide ribosomal RNA is filed under the name uncultured Bacteroidales bacterium. RNAcentral's name for it is "partial 16S ribosomal RNA". It matches the Rfam family "Bacterial small subunit ribosomal RNA", at positions 524 to 776 of the family's 1533-position model. Lineage: Bacteria; Pseudomonadati; Bacteroidota; Bacteroidia; Bacteroidales. The record is from RNAcentral.